Columba livia (rock pigeon) is the source of this 3805-nucleotide long non-coding RNA. RefSeq lists it as uncharacterized. The transcript has 3 exons. NCBI's taxonomy places the organism in Eukaryota, Metazoa, Chordata, Aves, Columbiformes, Columbidae. The record is from RefSeq and is a predicted model, not a curated record.
CCCCAGGACUGUGGGAGCACCGGGGGCUCCAACGUGUGCCCAAGCAUCUCCCCUCCCGGUUCAGGGUGACCCUGGCAGCGGGACGUUGGGGACGCUGUGAGCGGUGACUCAGGGACAUGUCACCAGACUCCCCGUGGGAAUCAUCCAGUGACUCACGCGCUCCCUCCCCGGGGAAAACGGCUGUCACGGGGCUGACAUCACUGGGGGAGCCGCCCAGGCCGUGGGGCAGCCACAGUGAGGGUGGAGGGACAGACUGACACAGCAGUUUGUCCUCCCCAUGGGGGUCUGCCCAAAAUUGGAGGUGUUUCCCUGGGUACAAGGGUGACAACUGACCCAUGUCCGCAUCCCAGCACCACCUCGCCACAGCAGAUGGAUUUUAUGGAAAGCCCCUUUUCCUUCGAGCGUCCUUUCCACACCGGACCCACAGCCAGUUUUAUAACCCCCUUGAAAUUUCACAGGUCUCUACAAAGUCACCAUGUUCCAAAAUAGGCUGCAGGCAGGAGGAGCGAGUUUUCCCGGCUGAAACUCCAGGGAGGGACGUUUGGUUCGACCGCUAAACCAGCUCCACUCAUCCCCGCAGCGUUCACAGCUCGAGGGGUCACCCCUUGUCACCCAAACGAGGUAAGUCCCCAGCACGAGAGGUCCGGGUGCUCUGAGGGAACCCCUUGCUCUGUUGUGUUUUGUGGCAUUAAGGAGAAAAGAGACAAUCUAAGAAAAGCAAGGAGGGGUGAAUCUGCGCACCCCAUGAGAUUUAAUACUCUAUCUUUUUCCUUCUUGGUGCUUGAGGAAGGACCUUUGUGAUUUCUCCUAUGAUUUCAAGCACAAUAAACAGACCAAUACUUUACCCAGAUCUAAUUCCAUCAUUUUUGUGCUUGGUAAGCAAUCCCUGUGUUAUAAACAACACAGAAACAACGCAUUACUGAUAGCUGAGGACAAACCUCAUCUCUCAGAAUUAAAAGCAAAAUGCAAAUUGAUUUAAACAGGACCAAGGAUUCAUUGAGUAAAAACCGGGACCAGGCUCUAACCCAACCCACUCUGGAGCCUGUUCACAGGCGGCUGAGCCGCUCCGGCUACACAACAGGGACAGAAACGUGUCAGCCACCCACGCUCCUGCACACGGGGAGCGGCACGUGCGGAGCGGGAGCUGCUGCUGACAUCUGAACCGGAGCCGUUUCUCCCCGCACGCUGCUGCAGCCUGGCUGGAUCCUCCAGCCACAGCCCUACCGAAACGCGCGGUUCCCCGCGGAGUCCGGAGCGUUUCUCUGGUUAAAUCCCCAUUCCCAGAUUGGCUUCACCGCCCAGCGAGUUGCAGGGAACAUCCACGAGCUGCUCAGUGUGCGCUGGGAGCCAGCGGCCGGCCGGUGAUUUCGUACAGCAUUUCCGCGAUGAGCUCGACAAUGUCCGCGUUGCCGAUAACGGGGCGGAAGAAGAGAUCCGUGAUGAGAGCGGGAGAGAUGGAUUUUAAGGUGGAGGAGAUGAGCAAAAUGCGGGCGAAGCGGCCGCGGUCGUGGGGGUGCAGGGGCUGCAGGAGCUCCUGAAGCGCUCGCUGGGCUUCCCGCUGGAGGCUCUCGAUGUGCAGGGAGGCCCUGAGCCCAGGGACGUCUGCGAGGGAGAGGACGAAGAGCUGGUGAUGAAGGAGGCUGGAAAACAGCCCCAGGUUUCUCCCAUUCCCACCCUUCCGUGUUUCUCAGAGGGGAUCUCUGAGGCCGUGCUAGGGGGAUGUGCUACUGAGAUGUAGCGAUUUCAGGAGGGAGCAAAAGCAAACUCCUGCUUCACAAAUUAAAUCCCAGGGUCGUUUAUAAGGGCAGGCAAAGGUCUCUCUGUCUUUUCCCAUCUGACAUCCCCCCUCCCUAGUGCUCCUGGUAACACAGAAUCACAGAAUCAUUUUGGUUGGAAAAGCCCCUCAGGAUCAUCGAGUCCACCUGUUCCCCCACCCCGUCCCUGCCCCAUGUCCUGAGAACCUCAUGUCCGUCUGUCCAGCCCUCCAGGGAUGGUGACUCCAGCACUGCCCUGGGCAGCCUGUUCCAAUGCCCCACAGCCCUUUGGGGAAGAAAUUGUUCCUAAAUCCAACCUCAACCUCCCCUGGCGCAACUUGAGGCCGUUUCCUCUGCUCCUGGCGCUUGUUCCUGGGGAGCAGAGCCCGACCCCCCUGGCUCCAAGCUCCUUUCAGGCAGUUCAGAGAUCAGAAGGUCUCCCCUCAGCUCCUGUUCUCCAGCUGAACCCCCAGGUCCCUCAGUCUCCAUCACACUUGUGCUCCAGCCCCUCACCAGCUCCGUUCCCUCCUCUCAACUCGCUCCAGGACCGAUCGGGGUUCAGGAUUUGGGAGCCUCUCUGCUCUCAGAACACCCCCAUGCCAUGAGGCGUGUGUGGAGCUGCCGUGGGCUCGAGCACUCACCGGGGUUGAAGAGAACGGCUCCCUUCAGGUUACCAUCUCCUGGACCAGCCCCAGGAGGAACAGGGGAACCCAGCAGCUCUCCAGCAGCAGGAGCUGAUCCUCUCGCGGCAGCAGGCGGAAACACGGGAGGUUUUUCAUGAAGCUGACGGUUUUGACCAGCACAUUGGAAGCCGCCUGGCAGGUGACGUGGGGGUCGCGGAGGCAGACGGUGCGGCGCUGGUGGCACAGGCAGCGCUGGUGGGCCGGGCUGCUGUGCAGGUUCUGGCUCAAGAGCGUGUAGAGGAUGGCGGUUUGAUUGUCCUCGCCGUGGCACCGGCACCUCUUGCAGUCCACGUCCAUAACUGCUGGAUCCUCGGCGAAACUCAGCUCCUGUGACAGAGAGAUGUUUAUAUCCCUUCCAGUCCCUCUGUCACAGGCUGGAUUGUCCCCGUCCUCCCCGCCCGCGGCUGCUCAAACCACCUCUUAUAUGGCUGGGUCACCAGUGAAACACCCACAGCAGCCUUGACCGCUCUGCCUAAUUAAAAAGAAAUCAAACAACGCAACGAACUCAGCUAUCCCUGGGCUGAUUGGCUGGGGCAAAUGAGUUUGUGAACAGCCGUUUUCUCAAUUAAACGGGGAAGGGGGUGGCAGGUCAGGCGGCCUUAUCGCGAUUACCCAGAGAGGAUAAACAGAGUCAUUAACCCAGGCUGUACCAUGGCACCAAGGCCCCGCUGUCACCGCGCAGGUGUCACACACACACAGGGCGCCCCGUCUGGGCCCCGCGUUUAAUGACCCCAGCGCUCUGGCCUUGGACGGAGCCACCUGGAAGUGGUUUUAUCAGCGGCUGUUUGCCCAACCUGGCCAAGAGGAGCCUCGUGGUGUUCCCGCUGAUUCAAACCCAGGCCGGGCCCGUCCGUUUGUGUCUCUCAGAGGAGAAUUCUCACAUUCUCACCUGGAUCCACCAGGUGUUCUGAUCCAGGGCUUGCGGAGCUGAUUCCUCCUCACAGAUUUCCAGUGAAGAGAAGCUGCUAAAUUAACGUGUACUAUGAUUAAAAGGCUUAUCCAUCAUUAACCAAUCGACAUGAUAAAUGCUUUCUGACCACCUGCAAAACGAGCGGAUGUUUUUCAAGUUUUAGAUCCUUCUGCAGGACGAGAUGGAGACAGAAGAUUAAGUGAUACAUUGUUUAGAAGUACAAUGCUUAGCUUAUAUUUAACUAAUAAAUAAUAGACGUAAGUAAGAAACUAAACAAUUAUAACUAACAUCAUCUAUUAUUUCUUAGUAUAGAUGUAUUGUAUGUCAACAUUUUCAAAAACUGUAAUACAUAUGCGAUGAUUAUUUGAAUAUAAGCAACGCAAGGGCAUCCGGUCUUUGGAGCGCUUAUGGAGGAUGAUCUCCAGAGCUGAUAAAAUAAAGAAUGAUGCUUGACAGUA